CCCUUAGAUGUCCUGGGCUGCACGCGCGCUACACUGAUGUGUCCAGUAAGCACCUAACCUCUUCCGAAAGGAACGGGUAACCUUUGCAAAGCACAUCGUGAUGGGGAUAGAUUAUUGCAAUUAUUAGUCUUGAACGAGGAAUUCCUAGUAAGCACAAGUCAUCAGCUUGUGUUGAUUACGUCCCUGCCCUUUGUACUCACCGCCCGUCGCUCCUACCGAUUGAAUGUUCCGGUGAGCUCUUCGGACUGCGCGGUCUGCAGUUUCUGCGUUCCGUGCGGAAAGUUGCGCAAACCUUAACAUUUAGAGGAAGGAGAAGUCGUAACA
RNAcentral lists this ribosomal RNA (324 nucleotides) under uncultured eukaryote. RNAcentral describes it as "partial 18S ribosomal RNA". It matches the Rfam family "Eukaryotic small subunit ribosomal RNA", at positions 1470 to 1796 of the family's 1831-position model. The record is from RNAcentral.